This is a long non-coding RNA of Dreissena polymorpha, 1038 nucleotides long. RefSeq lists it as uncharacterized. The transcript is spliced from 2 exons. Lineage: Eukaryota; Metazoa; Mollusca; Bivalvia; Myida; Dreissenidae. The record is from RefSeq and is a predicted model, not a curated record.
GUUAAAGUUCUUAUUUCAUGGUAUAACUUUGGUAUGCUUGGACCUAGAGUCUUCAAACUUGACAUGAAGGUUGGCCAGGAUUAACAGAUGACCACUGGUCAUUUCAAGGUCAUUCAUUUGAAGGUGAAGGUCACUGUGACCUUCAAUAUAAAAAUGUUAAAGUUGUUAUAACUUUGGUAUGCUUGGACCUAGAGUCUUGAAACUUGACAUGAAGGUUGGCCAGAACUAGUAAGUAACCACUGGACAUUUCAAGGUCAUUCAUUUGAAGGUCAAGGUCACUGUGACCUUGAAUGUAAAAAUGUUAAAGUUGUUAUAACUUUGGUAUGCUUGGACCUAGUCUUGAAACUUGACAUGAAGGUUGGCCAGAACUAGUAAGUAACCACUGGACAUUUCAAGGUCAUUCAUUUGAAGGUCAAGGUCACUGUGACCUUGAAUGUAAAAAUGUUAAAGUUCUUAUUUCAUGUUAUAACUUUGGUAUGCUUGUACCUAGAGUCUUCAAACUUGACAUAAAGGUUGGCCAGUACUAGAAGAUCACCACUGCUCAUUUCAAUGUCAUUCAUUUGAAGGUCAAGGUCACUGUGACCUUCAAUGUUAAAAUGUUAAAAUUGUUAUAACUUUGGUACGCUUGGACCUAGAAUCUCAAACUUGACGUAAAGGUUUGCAAGCACACUUAGAUGACCACUGGUCAUUUCAAGGUCAUUCAUUUCAAUGUCAUUCAUUUGAAGGUCAAGGUCACUGUGAACUUAAAUGUUAAAAUGUUAAAAUUGUUGUAACUUUGGUAUGCUUGGACCUAGAAUCUCAAACUUGACGUAAAGGUUUGCAAGCACACUUAGAUGACCACUGGUCAUUUCAAGGUCAUUCAUUUGAAGGUCGAGGUCACUGUGACCUUGGAUGUAAAUAUGUUAAAGUUGUUAAUACUUUGGUAUGCUUAGACCUAGAGUCUUCAAACUUGAUAUGAAGGUUGGCCAGAACUAGUAGAUGACCACUGGUCAUUUUAAGGUCAAGGUCACCGUGACCUUGAAUGUAAAAAUGUUAAAA